Molecule: signal recognition particle RNA, 329 nt
Filed under: Otolemur garnettii (small-eared galago)
Lineage: Eukaryota; Metazoa; Chordata; Mammalia; Primates; Galagidae
Description: Metazoan signal recognition particle RNA
Rfam family: Metazoan signal recognition particle RNA
About the family: The signal recognition particle (SRP) is a universally conserved ribonucleoprotein. It is involved in the co-translational targeting of proteins to membranes.
Source: Rfam by way of RNAcentral
GCCGGGCGUUGUGGCGGGCGCCUGUGGUCCCAGCUACUUGGGAGGUAGAGACAGGAGACUUGCUUGAGCCCAGGAGUUGGAGGUUGCUGUGAGCUGUAAUGCCACAGCACUCUACCCAGGGGGACAGCUUGAGGCCCUGUCUCAAAAAAAAAAAAAAAAAAAAAGAGAAAUCACCAAGGUAAGGAUAAACUAUAUAUAUUUUUUAUUUGUAUGUAUUUAUUUAUUUAUUUUGAGGUGGAGCCUCAAGCUGUCCCCCUGGGUAGAGUGCUGUGGCAUCACAGCUCACAGCAACCUCCAACUCCUGGGCUCAAGUGAGUCUCCUGCCUCCA